GGAAGUAAAAGUCGUAACAAGGUUUCCGUAGGUGAACCUGCGGAAGGAUCAUUAACGAACCCUCGGAAGGAUGCGCUCGCUGCUGGGCUUCUCGGAAGUCAUCGUGCACACGCUCUUUCCUCUCGUUCAACCAAUCUACCCCUAUCUGUGCAUCCCUCGUAAGUUGAGAUCUCUCGGCUUAUGUUGCUCCACAAACACCAUGAUAUAUCAGCGAAUGGCAGCCGUCCGAGCUUCGUCUCGACGAAUGAAUAUACACAACUUUCAACAACGGAUCUCUUGGCUCUCGCAUCGAUGAAGAACGCAGCGAAAUGCGAUAAGUAAUGUGAAUUGCAGAAUUCAGUGAAUCAUCGAAUCUUUGAACGCACCUUGCGCCCCUUGGUAUUCCGAGAGGCAUGCCUGUUUGAGUGUCAUUAGACCAUCAACCCGACCCGCUUUCGAGCCCGGUCGGAGUUUGGAGCGUGCGGCGUGCGGAAGGCUCUCUCGGGCCUCCGCUCCUCGCGGAAUACAUCAGCGGAUGUCCACUAGCGGGUCCAGCUUUGGCGUGAUAACUGUCUACGUCCUCGCUAGGGUCGCGGUUUGCUGGCUUCCGCUUCGAACAGUCGACGUUCGCGCGACGAAAUGGAGUGACAAACUUGACCUCAAAUCAGGUAGGAUUACCCGCUGAACUUAAGCAUAUCAAUAAGCGGAGGA
RNAcentral lists this ribosomal RNA (690 nucleotides) under Cora sp. DIC556. RNAcentral describes it as "eukaryotic LSU rRNA". The stretch from base 257 to 410 matches the Rfam family "5.8S ribosomal RNA". The record is from RNAcentral. Lineage: Eukaryota; Fungi; Basidiomycota; Agaricomycetes; Agaricales; Hygrophoraceae.